Vulpes vulpes (red fox) is the source of this 1953-nucleotide long non-coding RNA. NCBI's taxonomy places the organism in Eukaryota, Metazoa, Chordata, Mammalia, Carnivora, Canidae. The record is from Ensembl.
GCAACGGGGUGGUCCUCGGGUCCGGGCCCCAGCAGGUGCAGGCGGCCGAGGUCGCCGGGUCCGCGGGAGGCCUCGGCAUGGAGGUCGUGGGUCUCAAUCUGGCCAUCGACCCGGAGGGCGGCAGCGCCCACGCCGAGGAGGCCGAGGACGACUCGGACUUCGGGCCGGCGGACGAGGACGGGGAGGAGGCGCCGGCGGACGGCCUGGACAUCCUGGUGGACGCCCAUCAGUUCCCCAUGGUCAGUUUCCGUUUCAUGUUCCUGGACUUGGUGCACUCGCUGCUGCACCGCAUCAACUGCAACAACCAUAUCCUCGUGCGGCCCCGCGGCGGCGGCAUGGUGGUGCCACCCCAGCCUCAGCUACGCGACGGCCUGGGCCAGCACCCCGUGCCCCUGGCUGAGCUGCCAACACCUGCAGCGGCCGCCGUGGUCCACGAGUCCGAGGCCUCGUCCGAGGAGGAGACCGACUGGGAGACGGCGGAGGAGCCGGAUGAGGAGCCGCAGAUGGGGCCGGCGGCCGCCGAUGGGACAACUCAAUACCAGUAUGAAAACUCUGACAAAGAGGCCCAAGGCUCUGAUAGGGGGGAAGAAAAAGAGAAAUUUAACAAUAAACAAGAUGGACCUAACUAGAAGGGAUCCGGCCCAACAGAGAACAGGGCCAGCAAAUCCAGGUAUGGGUAUAGCUUUGCACAUCACCAGACCAUUCCCGGCAUUUACCUGUUACUGACAGUCUUAUUCUUUUUCAAUUCUCCUAGUAAAUUAAGAAGUUUGUUUAAGAUCAGUUUAAAAAUUCAGUUUUAGCUGCUCAGAACAUUAAUAGAAUACUAAUGUAUCUAGUAACAGAAAUCACAGUAUAUUCUGAAAUAUAUUUCCAUGGCUGCUCAUUCGUUCUCGUGAGGUCUUUUGUCCUCUACCUGUGAGACUACUAACGAGCGGUAGAUGUAUCAGUAGCUGAGACCAGUAUUUGUUUAGAGAACAGUUACUGGAAGCAGCAGCACAAGUGGCUGGGCUGUGCACUAAUUGGGCAUUCGUUACUUGACCAUGGAAAUGUACUGCCUUGUGCUAACUAGGAGACGAUGCCUUUGCCAAUGUGAUUACAUACAAAUAGCAAAAAGUCGAGAAUUUCAAAGUAGGACCACAUUUAAUGAUUAAUACCUGAUAUUCAGGUGUAGAUUUUUGUAUUUUACGUGAAAGUCUAAAGCAAGUUAGUCAUAGUAUGGUGAUUACUUAUCACGGAAUUGAUAACGAAGUCUUGAGGUGUAUCUUGUCUUUGAAUUUAUUUAAAUGAUUAACUUUUUUUUUUUUUUUUUGCAUUUCCACAGCUGUGUAUUUCAUUAUCACAGCUUCUUUUUCAUAUGGUAGAUAUGGAAACCGAGGGUCUGGGAGAAUAAGGGAGUAGCAUUUGUGGAAUGAGCAUAGGCUUUUAAGGUGAAGAGAUUUCCUUAAAUCUCCGAAUGGCCUCUCAAGGGUGGAGGGAAGCAUUUAUGGUGUUAGGCAAGAGGGAGACAAGGUUGGUAGGCUCACAAAAUUGAAGCCAUGGGUUGCACGAGCACCCUAUACACAAGGGUACAGGUUACAAGAGGAAAAUGUGUGGUACUCAACUUGAGAUACAGUACACAAAUGCAGCAUGUACAUAGGGCUAUUUUCAUAGGUUUAGAAAGUCACUGGUGCUGGUUAAUGCUGUGGAACUGCUAAUUUUCUCUCAUUUCACCCUGCAGUUGGAAGAAAUAGAAAGAAAAUGAAGAAGCAAGAACCUGCUGUUCAUUAUUUUUAAGAUUUUCUUUUCUUUUUUUUAGAAGCCCAUGGGAAUUUUAUUAACACCAAUUCAGCGUUCCAAACUGCAUGAAAAGUGCUCUCUGAUGAAAUCUGACUCCUCUCUUACUUGUGACUGGUAUAUUUGACAGCAUUUGUUCUGGUUAAAAAUAAAUUUGUUUUAAAUUAAUAAGAUGGAACA